This 272-nucleotide ribosomal RNA is filed under the name uncultured prokaryote. RNAcentral describes it as "partial 16S ribosomal RNA". It matches the Rfam family "Bacterial small subunit ribosomal RNA", at positions 524 to 794 of the family's 1533-position model. The record is from RNAcentral.
UACGUAGGGUGCGAGCGUUGUCCGGAAUUACUGGGCGUAAAGAGCUCGUAGGUGGUUUGUCGCGUCGUCUGUGAAAUUCCGGGGCUUAACCUCGGGCGUGCAGGCGAUACGGGCAAUACUUGAGUGCUGUAGGGGAGACUGGAAUUCCUGGUGUAGCGGUGAAAUGCGCAGAUAUCAGGAGGAACACCGAUGGCGAAGGCAGGUCUCUGGGCAGUAACUGACGCUGAGGCGCGAAAGCCAGGGGAGCAAACGGGAUUAGAUACCCGGGUAGU